Molecule: long non-coding RNA, 456 nt
Organism: Mauremys reevesii (Reeves's turtle)
Lineage: Eukaryota; Metazoa; Chordata; Testudines; Geoemydidae
Exons: 3
Source: RefSeq, a predicted model, not a curated record
GGGGAGGAAGUGCUUUAGCAAAUGGGGAGGAUAAAACAAUGCCUAAGGAAAAGACUCCUCUUGGGAAAGGCGAAGGUACAAACACCUGCUAGACAAAAGGGCUGGGAGGUGAAUGACUCUCUGAACUCUGGAUCUUCCUUGACCAAGGACAACUAACUGUGAGCAGGGUGAAGCAGAGAGAAACAGGAGUGGCGUGUUAAAGGGACAUUCAUUUGUCAGACUUUCACAUCACAACACUGCCCAAUGCAUUGUGGGCCCAAGGUCCAGUGUGCUUCAACAGCAGCCAGGGGAACUACAUGUUGUGGACAACAAACUUCUGCAUGUUGGGAGAACUUCCUGGUUCCUACCAGGAUGUACCCUCUGCCCCCGCACAGCAGGAGGUCUCAGCACUGACUGAGAUGGGAGCACAUAGCAGGCAAGCAGAGAGGAGGCUUCUGGACUGUAAUACUGUUCUAU